CCUAAGGGUGGCAGCAGUGGGGAAUAUUGGGCAAUGGGCGCAAGCCUGACCCAGCAACGCCGCUUGAAGGAAGAAGGCUUUCGGGUUGUAAACUUCUUUUCUCAGGGACGAAGAAAGUGACGGUACCUGAGGAAUAAGCCACGGCUAACUACGUGCCAGCAGCCGCGGUAAUACGUCGGUGGAAAGCGUUAUCCGGAUGUAUUGGGGGUAAAGGGCGUGUAGGCGGGAGGGCAAGUCAGAUGUGAAAACUCAGGGCUAAACCCUGAGCCUGCAGUUUAAACUGUGUUUCUUGAGUGCUGGAGAGGCAAUCGGAAUUCAGUGGGUAGCGGUGAAAUGCGUAGAUAUACGGAGGAACACCAGUGGCGAAGGCGGAUUGCUGGACAGUAACUGACGCUGAGGCGCGAAAGCGUGGGGAGCAAACAGGAUUAGAUACCAUGUAGUC
RNAcentral lists this ribosomal RNA (442 nucleotides) under uncultured bacterium. RNAcentral's name for it is "partial 16S ribosomal RNA". It matches the Rfam family "Bacterial small subunit ribosomal RNA", at positions 338 to 795 of the family's 1533-position model. The record is from RNAcentral.